This 885-nucleotide long non-coding RNA is filed under the name Setaria italica (foxtail millet). Its description in RNAcentral is "long non-coding RNA (SITA_LNC003334)". The record is from RNAcentral. Lineage: Eukaryota; Viridiplantae; Streptophyta; Magnoliopsida; Poales; Poaceae.
UCCUUCUCUUCCACCUCCGGCUGCUCCUCGGCCUCGUCCUCCUCCUCCACGGUCGCGUCGGGGCUCAGGUCCAGGCUCUUCUGCACCGACUUGUAGAUGCUGGACGCGAACUCCUUGGGGUCGGGGAGGUUGAACCCGCUCUCCAUCAGGGCGGUCUGGUACACCAGCCUCGCCGUCUGCUUCAAGCCCUCGCUCUGUUGCCAUCAGGUAAAACACGUUAGCCACCAUGGUUUUCCUGACAUUCUUUGGGGAUCAGCAAAAGGCCUUUGGAAGGAGAUUAUGUUACCUCGGUGUCCUGGGCGACCUUGUCACGGAGCUCCUUGAUGAUGGGGUGCCUGGGGUUGAUCUCCAGCACCCUCUUGCCGCGCAUGUACGCCUGCUUGCUCGAGUCGGAGAGGGUCUGCGCCUGCAUGAUCUUCUCCAUGUUGGCGCUCCACCCGUACUUGGAGGUGACGACGACGCAGGGGGUGUCAUGCAGCCGGUUGCUGAUCUUCACCGAGUCCACGUUCUCGCUCUCCAGGGCCUUCUUCCACCAGUCGGUCAGCUCCUUGAAAGACUCCUUGAGGUCCUUGAGCUUGGAGUCCUUGCCCAGCUUCAGGCCCUCCUUGGAAACGUUCUGGAACUUCUUGUCCUCGUAGUCCAUCAGGUAUUGCAUCAGGUACUCGUCCACUGGGUCAGUGAAGAAGAUAACCUGUGAAACAAAUACAAUUGCAGUAUUAAUUCACAAACUGUAUCCAGGUACGAAACUAAAGUUGACUUAUAAAGCAACUAUAGGCGACAGAGAGCAUGUGAUCUGGUUCCCGGAUGGACAACUAUUUUACAUCCAGAUCAGCAUCAUACCUCAUAGUUCUUCUUGGUUAGCCUCUCAAGGAACGGAGACUUCUC